Molecule: transfer RNA, 79 nt
Filed under: Methylorubrum sp. GM97
Lineage: Bacteria; Pseudomonadati; Pseudomonadota; Alphaproteobacteria; Hyphomicrobiales; Methylobacteriaceae
Description: tRNA-Cys
Source: RNAcentral
GGACUGGUGGAGGAACGGCUCACUCGGUCGCGCCGCAAGCGCUUCACAUGCCCGGUUCAAGUCCGAGCCCAGUCCUCCA